GAUGAGGGACUUCCGGUCUCUCGGCACUUCCGCCCAGGGCCGGAAACUUCGUCGCUGAGAGACCGUGAGGGGCCCGCGGUGCUGAGCCACGGGCUGAGGGCAGAUCUCGUGUUUUGGGUUCCUGAUGUCUUAUAAUGAGUGACAUUUUGCCAUUAGAUGUCAUUGGUAGAAGAGUUGAAGUUAAUGGAGAAUUUGCAACAGUGCGCUUUUGUGGUGAUGUUCCUCCUGUGGCAGGACUCUGGUUAGGAGUCGAAUGGGACAAUCCCGAGAGAGGAAAACAUGAUGGAAGCCAUGAAGGUACUAUGUAUUUUAAAUGCAGGCACCCAACAGGAGGCUCCUUUGUUCGUCCAAACAAAGUUAAUUUUGGAGUAGACUUUCUUACUGCCCUUACGAAGCGUUACGUGCUAGAAGACGGGUCUGAUGAUGAUGGAAAAUCAUGUUCCUUAAAAGUUGGAAGUAAACAAGUGCAAACUGUUGGUUUUGACAGUAUUACAAAGAAGCAGAGUCAGCUGAGAGCACUGCAAAACAUUUCCCUGUGGAAGUGUGCUGUGAGUCACGCUGGUGAACAAGGAAGAAUUGCUGAAGCCUGCCCCAAUAUUCGAGUUGUAAAUUUGUCCAAGAACUUGUUGCCAUCUUGGGUUGAAGUGGUUCUUAUUGCAGAGCAGCUCAACAACCUGGAGGUUCUGGAUCUCAGUGAAAAUAAACUGCAGUUUCCCUCUGACUCACCAACUCCAACUGGAACAUUUUCUAAUCUGAAGAUUUUAGUCCUAAAUAAAAUGGGAAUAACGUGGGCUGAGGUGCUGCGUUGUGCCCCUUCAUGGCCAGUCCUCGAGGAACUUUACCUCAAGUCUAACAGUAUUUCCAUUUCAGAAAGGCCAGUGAACGUUCUGCAGAAGAUGAGGCUUCUAGACCUUUCCUCUAACCCAGCAAUUGAUGAGAGCCAGCUGUGCCUCAUAGCAUAUCUGCCCAGAUUAGAACACCUACUCAUUUCUGACAUUGGACUUUCGUCUAUACAUUUCCCAGAUGCUGGAAUUGGGUGCAAAACAUCCAUGUUCCCGUCCUUGCAGUACCUCGUAGUCAAUGACAACCAAAUAUCAGAAUGGUCAUUUAUCAAUGAGCUAGAUAAAUUACAGAGCCUACAGGCUCUGUCCUGUACUAGAAACCCCUUGACUGAAGGAGACAAAGCAGAGGAGAUCAUCAUUGCCAAGAUCGGUCAGCUGAAGACCCUGAACAGGUGUCAGAUUCUUCCAGAGGAAAGGCGUGGAGCUGAGCUUGAUUACCGAAAAACCUUUGGAAAUGAAUGGAAAAAGGCUGGUGGACAUCCAGAUCCCGACAAAAACAGGCCAAAUGCAGAGUUUCUUUCGGCCCAUCCUAGAUACCAGCUUCUCUGCUGCAGUACGUCCAGAAUAUGGUGCGCCUGAAGAUGAGGAACUCAAAACACAGCAGCCAUUCAUGCUCAGAAAUCAGCUACUAACACUGAAGAUAAAAUGCUCAAACCAAGUUGAACAGAAAGUAUUAGAAAAGCAGUUGCCAGAUUCCAUGACAAUUCAAAAGGUAAAGGGACUGCUGUCACGUCUUUUCAAAGUUCCUGUGUCAGAACUUCUGUUGUCCUAUGAAAGUCCCAAGAUGCCGGGCAGAGAAAUUGAACUAGAAAAUGACCUACAGUCAUUACAGUUUUACUCUGUGGAGAAUGGAGAUUGUCUACUAGUGCGAUGGUAACAGUCCAACCGUAAGAGUUUAGCGACUAGAAUGUUGUACACACCAGAAACAAAAACUUCACCCUCACAAAGGAUGUAUGUUUUGCUGGGAAAGGACCAUUUGGUUGUAUAUUAAUAGAAUAAUAAAGGCUUUGAUUACUAGUGA
Onychomys torridus (southern grasshopper mouse) is the source of this 1863-nucleotide RNA transcript. It is a transcript of the gene named tubulin folding cofactor E, with no coding region annotated. The transcript has 17 exons. The record is from RefSeq and is a predicted model, not a curated record. Lineage: Eukaryota; Metazoa; Chordata; Mammalia; Rodentia; Cricetidae.